UAUGUGAUCGUCUCUCGCAUAUCAAUAAGCGGAGGAAAAGAAACUAACCAGGAUUCCCCUAGUAACGGCGAGUGAAGCGGGAAGAGCUCAAAUUUGAAAUCUUAAAGGGUUUCCCUUUACGAAUUGUAGUUUAAAGAAGUGUUCUCUGUUGAGGUUUUGGUAAAAGUUCUUUGGAAUAGGACAUCAUAGAGGGUGAGAAUCCCGUAUUUGACCUUUACUUUCAACUUUGUGAUACACUUUCAAAGAGUCGGAUUGUUUGGGAAUGCAGUCCAAAAUGGGUGGUAAAUUUCAUCUAAAGCUAAAUAUUGGCGAGAGACCGAUAGCGAACAAGUACCGUGAGGGAAAGAUGAAAAGAACUUUGAAAAGAGAGUUAAACAGUACGUGAAAUUGUCAAAAGGGAAGCGUUUGACACCAGUGUUGUUUUUCUGAAAAUCAAUUAAAGAACUGUUUAUGCUAAGUUGUUUAGACUUUAUCAGCUAAUCUGCUUAGUUUUGAGCUUUUCUUUAAUGCACUUUUCAGUUAACAAGUCAACAUCAAUUUCUUUUGCUGUAAAAAAGCUUGAGGAAGGUGGCUUGAGAUUCGUCUUAAGUGUUUAUAGCCUCUUGCCUAUGCAGUCGGAGAGAUUGAGGUCUGCAGCGUAGAUCCUUCGGGGCUAAAUGCAUUUGUGCUAAGUUAUAACAUUUUAUAGACAACUUGUUGACUAUGAUUUGUCUUGUAGCUUACUCGCUUAUGUUAUUUUACCUACGCUUAGGAUGUUGAAGUCAUCGUAUCGCGC
RNAcentral lists this ribosomal RNA (775 nucleotides) under uncultured Neocallimastigales. RNAcentral describes it as "partial large subunit ribosomal RNA". It matches the Rfam family "Eukaryotic large subunit ribosomal RNA", at positions 24 to 645 of the family's 3401-position model. Lineage: Eukaryota; Fungi; Neocallimastigomycota; Neocallimastigomycetes; Neocallimastigales. The record is from RNAcentral.